This is a long non-coding RNA of Nematostella vectensis (starlet sea anemone), 581 nucleotides long. RefSeq lists it as uncharacterized. The record is from RefSeq and is a predicted model, not a curated record. Lineage: Eukaryota; Metazoa; Cnidaria; Anthozoa; Actiniaria; Edwardsiidae. The transcript is spliced from 2 exons.
AACAGAAAGGGAGGAUUAAAAGAGUGCUCGACUUAAAAGGAAAUCCAGAGCAAAAUUGAAUAUGGGCUGACCCAAAAUGUCCGCGAGGCCACACACCACUGGUGCUAUGCAGUACUGUCUUCUGGUUCUACAAAACGGACAUCUAGAUCCAUAACUAGAAGCGUCUCCCCACUGAAAAAAGGCAAAGGAAAGAGCCCAAGCCCCUAGAAGUCAGCUUCUAGAGGAGAUUCAAAAGAUGGUCUCCGAUGCCUGCGAUCGCCCCCUCGUGAAUCACUGGCAGCAAAUUCAGAGGCCGCAAGGGAAAUGGCACAGCAAGAAGUAAAGGAGCUUUUCAAAUGCUCCAUAUGCUUUUCAACAAGCUCCCUGCCAGCUGCAAGUUGUCCCAGAUGCCACAAGCUCAUCGAAUGUGUGCCUGGCACGGAACUGGCACGGAACAGAAAAAAGGCGGGAAUAAGUACACCGCAAAGGUGAUGGUUAUAGUCCAGUAGCCCGCCUGUGAUUGGAGGAAAUGAACAGAAGCUUGAAAUAAAUAAACCUUGUUCGUUGAACAAGUUGAAUUAGUCAUUAAGUCAGAAAUUGAC